GACGAACGCUGGCGGCGUGCUUAACACAUGCAAGUCGAACGGAAAGGCCCUGCUUUUGUGGGGUGCUCGAGUGGCGAACGGGUGAGUAACACGUGAGUAACCUGCCCUUGACUUUGGGAUAACUUCAGGAAACUGGGGCUAAUACCGGAUAGGAGCUCCUGCUGCAUGGUGGGGGUUGGAAAGUUUCGGCGGUUGGGGAUGGACUCGCGGCUUAUCAGCUUGUUGGUGGGGUAGUGGCUUACCAAGGCUUUGACGGGUAGCCGGCCUGAGAGGGUGACCGGCCACAUUGGGACUGAGAUACGGCCCAGACGCCUACGGGAGGCAGCAGUGGGGAAUAUUGCACAAUGGGCGGAAGCCUGAUGCAGCAACGCCGCGUGCGGGAUGACGGCCUUCGGGUUGUAAACCGCUUCCGCCUGUGACGAAGCGUGAGUGACGGUAAUGGGUAAAGAAGCACCGGCUAACUACGUG
This 468-nucleotide ribosomal RNA is filed under the name uncultured bacterium. Its description in RNAcentral is "partial 16S ribosomal RNA". It matches the Rfam family "Bacterial small subunit ribosomal RNA", at positions 28 to 507 of the family's 1533-position model. The record is from RNAcentral.